ACCCCUGGAAUUCAAACAACCCUUGUGAGCUCUUGUUCGAACUAUGCCCAAUGAGCACCAGAAAGGAACAACUCAUCUGGACUUUUUCUCUCAUAAAACUCAGUGCGAGCUACGCCCUCCCGCCGACACUCUGCCAAUCACCACCCUGGUGCACGUGUGGGUGUGCAAUCGGCAAAGCCCUGGGCAUUAGUUGAUCAUCUGCAGGAGCCAGGUUGGAGUCUGUCUCCCCUCCAGCCUUCCAAAGCGUGAGGGCUGAAAGCCCCUUCAGCAACCACUUAUGGCUUCAUAGGAUGACAUACCUUACAAAUGGAGAAGCUGAGUCUGCUGUGCACACCUUCAAAGGCAGGGACAAGGCAACAUUUCUAACUUUAUUCACUUUCUAGGCAGGAAAGCACAAACUGAACAUAUGCAACAUGAGUGAACAUUCCUGGGUGUGAUUGACUGCUGCAUACAGAGAGAAAUGAACUCAAGACGGCUUACAUUAAAAACAGAAUGAAUCUGGAAUCUUCCCUGAGGAUCUCUUCCAACAUUUCAUAGUGCUCAUGUGCAGACCACCUGCAGUACCCUCACGGACCAGAGGUUGGGAACCACUGCUGGUAUAUGAAACCCGUCAAGGAGAACAGAAGAGUGUGCAAAAAGGAGUGGAUGAUCUCAUGAAUUGGAAGAAAUU
This is a long non-coding RNA of Hemicordylus capensis (graceful crag lizard), 670 nucleotides long. RefSeq lists it as uncharacterized. The transcript is spliced from 5 exons. Lineage: Eukaryota; Metazoa; Chordata; Lepidosauria; Squamata; Cordylidae. The record is from RefSeq and is a predicted model, not a curated record.